AUUGAACGCUGGCGGCAGGCCUAACACAUGCAAGUCGAACGAGUGGCGGACGGGUGAGUAAUGUCUGGGAAACUGCAUGAUGGAGGGGGAUAACUACUGGAAACGGUAGCUAAUACCGCAUACCAUCAGAUGUGCCCAGAUGGGAUUAGCUUGUUGGUGGGGUAACGGCUCCACAAGGCGACGAUCCCUAUCUGGUCUGAGAGGAUGACCGGCCACACUGGACCUGAGCCCCGGUCCAGACUCCUACGGGAUGCAGCAUUGGGGAAUAUUGCACAAUGGGCGCAAGCCUGAUGCAGCCAUGCCGCGGGUAUGAAGGAGGCCUUCGGGUUGUAAAUUACUUUCAGCGGGGAGGCGUUACCCGCAGAAGAAGCACCGGCUAACUCCGUGCCAGCAGCCGCGGUAAUAC
This 406-nucleotide ribosomal RNA is filed under the name uncultured bacterium. Its description in RNAcentral is "partial 16S ribosomal RNA". It matches the Rfam family "Bacterial small subunit ribosomal RNA", at positions 30 to 526 of the family's 1533-position model. The record is from RNAcentral.